UUACUUCUCUAAUUAGAAGGUGGUGAUGUGGCUUUGGAAUCCUUGAUUACAGAGGCACUUCCUGAUCUCCCUGGUUUGCCUGGAUCCAAGCAGGGGAAGGAUGCUCUUCUGGGAUGAGCUGCUGCUCUUUCUGGCUGCAGUCUUGACCUUAAAAAAGGAGAAGAAGCCAAAAGUUCCAUCCCCAGAAGCCCUAAACCCAGCACGAAUCGGUGUGACGCAGGCACAAACCUCCCAGGGCCAAGCAAGGUUGCACCCCGGCGCUGCGCACCCUCCCCUGCCUGCCUUGCCAUCAGACAAGCGUUCGCUCCUGUUCCACCUCCGGGUUUUAAAUAGCUGCGUGUCUACACCGCGGCCAAGCAGCUCUGUCUGCGAGGGGCUGCUUCUGGAAGGGAAACAGAGGAAAUGCUUUUGCCAGAAACGCUGUGAGUGGUGCAAGCCAAAGGGGAGCCUGCAAAGGCUCCGCCGCCCAGCGCUCCCCCGUGGCUUUGUUGGGGCUCACCAAAGGCUGUGUUUCGGAGCAGCCUUCAGAUCAGAUGAAUGAAGGUCCCUUCUUGGGAAGGUGUGACCACCUCCGGGCCCCUCCGGCGCCCGGGGACACCAGCUGGAGCCUUGCCACAGGCUGUGAGGACCUUGGCUCCAGACCCGGAGCCAACGU
Long non-coding RNA from Pogoniulus pusillus (Red-fronted tinkerbird), 655 nucleotides. RefSeq lists it as uncharacterized. Lineage: Eukaryota; Metazoa; Chordata; Aves; Piciformes; Lybiidae. The record is from RefSeq and is a predicted model, not a curated record. The transcript has 2 exons.